This is a long non-coding RNA of Papio anubis (olive baboon), 4648 nucleotides long. The record is from Ensembl. Lineage: Eukaryota; Metazoa; Chordata; Mammalia; Primates; Cercopithecidae.
CCCCAGAAGGCGGAGGUUGCAGUGAGCCGAGAUCGUGCCACUGCACACUGGCCUGGACAAGACAGUGAAACUCCGCCUCAAAAAAAAAAAAAAAAAAAAAAAAAAAGAUCUUACAGCAAGUCAGCAGGGUCCACCAAGGUCUUUGGCCAGAAGCAGAGAGUUUAUCAUGUGGACAUAGGAAACAGCAGUAGAGUGAUUAGUGUGGGUUUGUCCUUAACCACUCAGGAAUUUCAGGAAUUCCGACCAUGGGUAAAACCCAGUGGGGUGACACUCUCAUGUUCUCACCAACCAGGAAACCACUUGCUCUGCUUUGGGGAGGAGUUAGUGGAGGACUGGGCGUGGGCAGAAAAAUGGACACAUUUUGCUUCCCUGAUGGACAGAGGGAGGAAGUGGGAAGGGGAGACUAAAUGUUCCUGGACGGGAAAGCAUAGAUCCAGAACUGGAAUAUCACAUCUAAUCAACGUAGUCGAAUAGACUCAACAAACCAGUAAGAGGUUGUCGAAGUAUCAUUCAUAACAAAAGCACAACGAGUAACGAAGCCAAAACACUGGAGAUACGUUUAUGCAUUCAAGAAAACCUCAGAUGGGGCAGAAUGCUUUCAUAAUGCAGUACAUUAAAAUCAGACGAAGCCUCGAAGGACAGAAUCACCGACCCUGAAAAAUCUCAAGCUGGAAAUCAGAGUGUACUACAGAAGACAACAGCGUUUGAGGACAUUUGCUGAAGCAGCCUCCUCUCCCUUAUAGUCUCAUAAUCCCACAUGGUUUUACCAAGCUCUCUGGCCUUCCCGGAACGUCUAUAAAAACUGCAUCCCCCGACUUUUGUUGGUGGUUUCUUCCCUAAACUUUAGGGAAGUGGUGGUUUAUGUGGUGUUAUCUUCCCUAAGCUUUAAUUUAAUAUGAUCUUACUUAGGCAUUUCUCUUAGAGAGUAGGUCAUUGUAAUGAAGCGUUUUUCACCCUCUGGGAAAGAGGUUUCCACAUAAGGGCCAGGCCGUGUUUUCCCUUUCAUCCAGUGAUUCCACCAUAAGCAGCCUCUCAUCUUCACUUUUCCCAACAAUUUUCUUAAAAUCAGUGUAUUUUUUUGCAGGACCGGAUAUCACAUUACAUUCUCUAGUCAGGGGUGGGGGGUGGGAUAUGAAGUGAGAACAAAGAAUGGUAACUCCCGAAGCGAUUUUUUUAACGUAAACUUUGUUAGGAAGCAUAACAUACACACGUGCCAACAUAAAGGGUGCAACUCCAUGUAAUUUUAUGCAGACACUCACUCAUGGAACCACAACUAGAACAGGAAAUAGGAUUUUGCCAGCACCCCAGAAGCUCCAAUAAGGCACCUUGCAGUCACUCCCCUCCCCUACCCCACUCUAGAACAUAACAAGUUCAUUUUCUGACUUCUAUCACUGUAGAUUAAUUUGCCGCUAUUCCAAACUUCCGUAAAUGGAAUCGGACAGUACACACUCUUUGGUACCUGGCUCAACAGUCUGUUCCUUGAGUCCGCUGAAGCAGUCAUUUCUUCAAUUUUAUUGCUGACUCAUAUUCUGUGCUAUGAAAAUGUAACAAUUUAUUUUUCCAUUCUACUACUGAUGAGCCUUCAGAUUCUUUCUAAUAUUUGCCCAUAAUGGAAAAUGCUGCAAUAAGAAUUGUGCACAUCUUCUGAGAGCUCAUCUACCUAUUUCUGUGGAUAUAUACCUAGAAGUGUAAUAUCUGGGUCACAAAUAGUCGUGUGCCUAUGCAGGCUUGUACUGGCUCAUGACAGCCCAGUUUUUGCAAUCCAAUUGUUAAAUAUAGCCACAACUGAAAAUUAAGUCAUGUAAACUUACCAUUAAAUAAAAUAAUUUUUAAACAAUAAUACUCUAAACUAGUUGUUUCCUAUUUUACUACAUUUGACUAACAUCUGUUUGAUUAAUGAACAUUUUAUUAUUGCUGCUUAAUUUAUGAUUCUACCUAAGAUAUUUUAUUUUUAUUUACUUUUAUUUUUUUGAGACAGUCUCAUUCUGGUUGCCCAGGCUGAAGUGCAGUGGCUCUGUCUUGGCUCACUGCAGCCUUGACCCCCCGGGCUCAGGUGACUCUCCCACCUCAGCCUCCCAAACAACUGGGACUACAGGCAUGUGCUACCAUACCCAGCUAAUUUUUUGUAUUUUUAGUAGAGAUGGGGCUUCGCCAUGUUGCCCAGGCUGGUCUUGAACUCCUGGACUCAAGCAAUCUGCCCACCUCGAUACCCUAGCAUGUUGGGAUUACAGGCAUGAGCCACCACACGCAGCCUGAUACUUCAGGAUUCUGACAAAUAGAAGAUAUUAAUACAGAACAAAAACAACAAAAGCAUUUAAUCUAAUUUAUGGUAGAGACGUCCAAUCUCAAGAGUCAAUGCCUUCCUUAUUUUAACCAGUCACCACAGAAAACCUGAAAAACAGAGCCUGUAAGAGGCAUCUGAGAGGUCUUCAAGAGACUGAAAUUACUAACCAGGCUUCAGGAGGAUUGAGGAGAUCUGCUGUGCUGACACUCCAGUUUUGAGCAAUAUGUACAAGUGGAGUCAUGCUUUGAUCUCAUACCAACAAUUCUGCUCGGGAUGUAAUGUCUUAGUCUGUUUGGGCUGCUAUAGCAAAACACCUGAGGUUGGGUAAUUUAUAAACAGCAGAGAUUUAUUCUAUUACAGUUCUGGAAUCUGGGAAGUCCAAAAUCAAGGUGCCAGUAGAUUCCAUGUCUGAUGAGGGUGUGGUCUCUGCUUCAAAGAUGGCAGCUUGAUGCUGCAUCCUCCCAAGGGAGGAAUGCUGGGUCUUCACAUAGCAGGAGGAACAGGAGGGCAAAAGGGGGUCAAGUUUUUCCCUCCAUCAAGCUUUUUUUUUUUUUUUAAUGGCAUUAAUCUGUUCAUGAGGAUGGAGCUAUUAUGAUCUAAACACCUCCCAAAAGCCCCCACCUCCCAGAACUGUUGCAUUGGGGAUUAAAUUUCCAACACAUGAAUUUUAGGGGACAUGUUCGACCAUAGCACUUGGUAAGAGUGAGGAAAAGAAAAAACAGUGGGCAGAGGCACAGACGAGAUGAGAUGAUUAGGACCUGUCUGAAAGUUGCGUGCUUCCUCACUCCCAUUUACUGUGAAUCUUUCCUCACUUCCUUCUUUGGACCAUAGAACGAUACAUGUGCUGCCAAAGUGAGCAGUGGAUCACAGAAUGAUAAGGGAGAAUUUGGUAAAAGGGAAGGGUGGUUUUUGUGUCUCUAAUGACCUGAUCAGUAUAAUGACAUGGCUUGAAAAAAUAAUCUCUUAGGUUACAAUCUGUUCAAAUUAUUGAGUCGGUAUUUAAUCACUGUGGCACAUAUUAGAAUAGUGUUCAUGACACUUUGAGGUCCAUUGAUCUUUAAUAAGGUAAGAAGGCAGCAUUGGCUUAAUUUUACAUAUCAAGAACGUGAACCUUAGAGGGAAAAAGUGAUCUUCUUUUUUUCUUUUCUUUUUUUUUUUUUUUUUUUGAGACGGAGUCUUGCUCUGUCAUNNNNNNNNNNNNNNNNNNNNNNNNNNNNNNNNNNNNNNNNNNNNNNNNNNNNNNNNNNNNNNNNNNNNNNNNNNNNNNNNNNNNNNNNNNNNNNNNNNNNUUUGAGACGGAGUCUUGCUCUGUCAUCCAGGCUGGAGUGCAGUGGCCGGAUCUCAGCUCACUGCAAGCUCCGCCUCCCAGGUUUAUGCCAUUCUCCUGCCUCAGCCUCCCAUGUAGCUGGGACUACAGACGCCCGCCACCUCGCCCAGCUAGUUUUUUGUAUUUUUUAGUAGAGACGGGGUUUCACCGUGUUAGCCAGGAUGGUCUCGAUCUCCUGACUUCCUGAUCCGCCCGUCUCGGCCUCCCAAAGUGCUGGGAUUACAGGCUUGAGCCACCGCGCCCGGCAAAAGUGACCUUCUUAAGAGCCCAAGUGAGUUAGUAGAAGAGUUACCUGGAUCCAGAAACAAAUUCUUAACUCCCAGGCAAGUCCUCUUUACUCUAUCACUAUUUUAUUUUAUUAUUAGUAGUGAUACUAGUGAUACUAGAUACCAGAAGACACCACAGUGAAGUUGGGAGUUUCCCUUAUUCUGUUUAUUCUGUUGACUGCAAUGCAACCAACGGGCCUUAACACUUGGACCCAUAAUUAAUUUUAGAUUAUAAGAGGCAGAGAAUUCAACUCACACUAGAUUGAGUAGCGGGAGACAAGGAAAUUUAUUAUAUGGAGUUGAAACGGGAAAAGUUCCCUGGUCCCCUUGCAGGGCAGGAGGCAGGGGGAGUGGCUAGCUUCUUCAGUGCCCCGCGGCUCACACCUCUCGGGAAGCAUGCAGACAGGCAAGCUGUGGGACUCCGACGCCCCCACGCACUCUCUAGGGGUGAAUGUUUACAGCUUCUGAAGCCCCAGUGGGCGUGUGUUACAGGUGCUCUGAGUUUGCGUGUAUAGGCGGCUUUUGUUAACCAGCUCAAUUAGACCGUCUACCUGGUUGCAAGGACAGAGGGCUUUUUGUAUUCCCGGUUCUUGCCUUGGUGUACUGGAAGAAUUAUUAGUGGGCUUGGAGAACUAGUGGGCUUGGAGAAUGAGUGCAAAGUUUUGAGUGGAAAUAGCUCUCUGCCAAUGGGAGAGCCAUAAGGGAGAUGGUUUUCCCUUGGAGUUGGGCCACUGGGUGCCCCAGCUCUCCUCUGACCGCCCUGGCCAAACU